This 74-nucleotide transfer RNA is filed under the name Anaerolineae bacterium. RNAcentral describes it as "tRNA-Asp". It matches the Rfam family "tRNA". From Rfam's summary of the family: Transfer RNA (tRNA) molecules are approximately 80 nucleotides in length. Their secondary structure includes four short double-helical elements and three loops (D, anti-codon, and T loops). The record is from RNAcentral. Lineage: Bacteria; Bacillati; Chloroflexota; Anaerolineae.
GCGCUGGUGGUGUAGUUGGUUAACAUACGGCCCUGUCAAGGCCGAGACCGCGGGUUCAAGUCCCGUCCAGCGCG